Long non-coding RNA from Chinchilla lanigera (long-tailed chinchilla), 1578 nucleotides. The record is from Ensembl. Lineage: Eukaryota; Metazoa; Chordata; Mammalia; Rodentia; Chinchillidae.
GCUUGUUGUAUUACAUAUUGAUAACUUCAGAGUGGUUUCUCGUGAAAACAGAAACACUCAAGGGUAAAGGGCAACUGGGAUGUGGAAAAAGAGAAGGGAAAGAAGGAGAAAUUUUGUACGUAUGUAUAUACAGGAUAGCUAACAUAGUUGUUCUACUGUCUUCUAUUUCUUUGCCGAAAGAAACUGUUAAGGAGUCCUUGAUUGACAGUAGUAACUUCUGCUGACCGGAAACCGCCAAGUUGGAACUUGCGUGUAAAUCACCCUGCGAGUGAGUCAUCCUUCCUGCAGAUAACACUACCGACCGGACCGCCCCGCCCGAGCGCGAACAGGGCUAUGCUGGCCUCUCUCCUCCGUGGCCUCUGGAAAGUCCUGAGGUGGGGAGCCAGGGCGCCGAGUCACCGCGUCUUCACCAGAGUUGUUUUGCAAUCAUUAUUCAUGACGGGGAGCAGGCACCGAGCAUUCCAGGCUUACACCAGUGUUACUAAACUUUCUAUGCGUAUUGCCAAGCUGCAGGGUUUCCCACACGCAGCAGAGCUGUGUGCGCAGCGUGUCCAGUCAGCACGUGUUUGGAGAAUGAUGAGUGACUCACGGGCUCGGCUCUCUGACUCCGAUUCUCCCGCAGCCCUGGCAGUCCAGCUCCGUGCCAACGGGUUCCUUCAGCGCCCUGACAAUGGGCGCCUGCUGUACUACCUGCGGGGCAUUUGGCUGGAGACGGUAUUUUGUUCCAGUGAGAGAAAAGACAGGGCCUGAGGUCAAUCCCCAGAUGCACAGAAAAGAAGGAGGAAGAGGAGGAGGAAGAGGAGGAGGAAGAGGAGGAGGAAGAGGAGAAAGAGAAAGAAGAAGCGGAGGAUUAUUGAUGCACAUCACAACAUUGAAUAAACUUUCAAAACAUUGUGAACAAAAUUAGUGAACAAAAUUAGUAACAAAACUUUUCAUACUGUGUGAGUCUACUCAUGUGAAAUGCCCAGGAAAAGGAAAUACACAGAGAUAGAAAGCAGGAUUGUUGUUUGCCUAGAGCUGGAGGUGAGCGUGUGGUGGAUGGCAGUGAUAGCAGAGAGGACAAUGCAGUGUGUGUUCUAAAAUUAGACUGUACACUUAGGAUAAGUGUGUGUUUUUUUUUUUUUUUUGGUUUUUUCUCCGUUACGGGGAACCGAACUCAUGACCUUGCGCUUGCCAGGCAGGUGCUUUUGCCCCUGAGCUAAAUCCCCAGCCCCAAGUGUGUGAUAUUUUAAUGAUACAAAGAAAGUCACUGAACUGGGCAGUUUAAGUGGAUAAAUUCUAUAGUAAAUUAAUCAUAUCUCAAUAAACUGUUAAAUUUGAGGGCAGCCUGAGCUACAUGGUAAGUUCAGUGCCCUCCUAGACUACUUGUGAGAUGAAAGUGUCAUGUAAAACAUUACAUUUAAAGAUUAUAUAGUGGGGAGCCCCUGUGUACACAUGCACACAUACACGCACACAUUUGUACUGAGUGUUUAGUCUUGUGAUUGCUAAGCGAGCAUUGUACCACUGAGCUACAUCUCCAACCCUUUCUAUUUUGAGACAAGGUCUUGCUAAGUUGCCGUGGUUGGCCUUGAACUUCUG